RNAcentral lists this ribosomal RNA (632 nucleotides) under uncultured bacterium. RNAcentral's name for it is "bacterial SSU rRNA". It matches the Rfam family "Bacterial small subunit ribosomal RNA", at positions 8 to 645 of the family's 1533-position model. The record is from RNAcentral.
AGAGUUUGAUCCUGGCUCAGGAUGAACGCUGGCGGCGUGCUUAACACAUGCAAGUCGAACGCUGAAGCUCCCAGCUUGCUGGGGGUGGAUGAGUGGCGAACGGGUGAGUAUCACGUGAGUAACCUGCCCUUGACUCUGGGAUAAGCCCGGGAAACUGGGUCUAAUACUGGAUAGGACUGGCCAUCGCAUGGUGGUUGGUUGAAAGCUUUUGCGGUUUUGGAUGGACUCGCGGCCUAUCAGCUUGUUGGUGGGGUAAUGGCCUACCAAGGCUUUGACGGGUAGCCGGCCUGAGAGGGUGACCGGCCACACUGGGACUGAGACACGGCCCAGACUCCUACGGGAGGCAGCAGUGGGGGAUAUUGCACAAUGGGCGCAAGCCUGAUGCAGCGACGCCGCGUGAGGGAUGACGGCCUUCGGGUUGUAAACCUCUUUCAGUUGGGAAGAAGCCUUUCGGGGUGACGGUACCUUCAGAAGAAGCACCGGCUAACUACGUGCCAGCAGCCGCGGUAAUACGUAGGGUGCGAGCGUUAUCCGGAAUUAUUGGGCGUAAAGAGCUCGUAGGCGGUUUGUCACGUCUGCUGUGAAAGCUCGGGGCUUAACUCCGAGUGUGCAGUGGGUACGGGCAGGCUGGA